This 141-nucleotide small nucleolar RNA is filed under the name Drosophila willistoni. Its description in RNAcentral is "snoRNA:GK26640". Lineage: Eukaryota; Metazoa; Arthropoda; Insecta; Diptera; Drosophilidae. The record is from RNAcentral.
UGGCAAUCUAAAACCAGCUUUUUGUGACCUACAACCAUGUCCAUAUCAGUUUGGAAAUGAUUGCUAGAGUAAAACUAAUUUUUGUGUUUAAAUGUGCAACUACUAUGAAAGCUGCAAUUGUUUGCACAAUUUUUAAACAAU